GGGGGGACACGGGUGCUCGCUCGUCGAGCGUGCUCGACGGGAGGAAAGUCCGGACUCCAAGGGCAAGGACGCUGGAUAACAUCCAGGCGGAGCGAUCCGACACCAGCACCACAGAAAACAAACCGCCGAUGGCCGGUGUGAGCGACUUCGGUCACUCCAUCGGCUCAGGUAAGGGUGAAACGGCGGGGUAAGAGCCCACCGCGGUGAUGGCGACAUCAACGGCACGGUAAGCGUCGUCCGGAGCAAGACCAAAUAGGGGGACGCCCGCGGGCUCGCAAGCGCUCAGCGGAAAGGCCGGCCCGGCCGAGGUCUCCGGGUAGGUUGCUUGAGGCUCGAGGUAACUCGAGUCCCAGAGAAAUGAUCACCCCCGUGUGAGCGCAAGCUUCACGCGGGACAGAAUCCGGCUUAUAGGGUUCCUCCAACG
This 424-nucleotide RNase P RNA is filed under the name Nitrospira sp. Its description in RNAcentral is "RNase P RNA component class A". It matches the Rfam family "Bacterial RNase P class A". From Rfam's summary of the family: Ribonuclease P (RNase P) is a ubiquitous endoribonuclease, found in archaea, bacteria and eukarya as well as chloroplasts and mitochondria. Its best characterised activity is the generation of mature 5'-ends of tRNAs by cleaving the 5'-leader elements of precursor-tRNAs. Cellular RNase Ps are ribonucleoproteins. The record is from RNAcentral. RNAcentral also lists the same sequence under 1 other name. Lineage: Bacteria; Pseudomonadati; Nitrospirota; Nitrospiria; Nitrospirales; Nitrospiraceae.